GUUAUUUAUGGCAUGCUGGCAAUGCUCUGGAUUUUUAUUUCAGACGAGGUGCUAAGCAGAGUAGUGAAAGAUGUUCAUACAUAUAAAUUAAUU
Molecule: transfer RNA, 93 nt
Filed under: Clostridium oryzae
Lineage: Bacteria; Bacillati; Bacillota; Clostridia; Eubacteriales; Clostridiaceae
Description: tRNA-Lys
Source: RNAcentral